Molecule: non-coding RNA, 333 nt
Organism: Triticum urartu
Lineage: Eukaryota; Viridiplantae; Streptophyta; Magnoliopsida; Poales; Poaceae
Source: RefSeq, a predicted model, not a curated record
GUGCCGCUGGUCGAGUCUUGUGGAGAAGCAAGGCGAGUCGGGCAUCAUCUCACUUGUGCCGCUGUGGGUGACAGAGGAAGCCAUGUUGCUGUUUUGUUUGUUCCCAGCCUUGACUAUGGUGGUCCAGCGAGUCCGGCAUGUCGUCAUUUUCUUGUAAAGCAGUAUUGUAUCACACUUGUAGAGCUCGUUACACAUGUAGAGCUUGUAAAGUACUGUAUUGCACAUGGUCAUAUGUAUUGGCAAUGUGAUCUGGUUGCUCUUAUUUGAAGUAUCAUGUGUGCUUUUUGUCUGCCAAUUUAAAUAUUAGUUGAAAUAUGAAGAAUAUGAGCCUGA